This 397-nucleotide ribosomal RNA is filed under the name uncultured bacterium. RNAcentral's name for it is "partial 16S ribosomal RNA". It matches the Rfam family "Bacterial small subunit ribosomal RNA", at positions 523 to 918 of the family's 1533-position model. The record is from RNAcentral.
AUACGUAGGGGGCGAGCGUUGUCCGGAAUGAUUGGGCGUAAAGGGCGCGUAGGCGACCCGGUAAGUCUGGAGUGAAAGUCCUGUUUUUAAGAUGGGAAUUGCUUUGGAUACUGUCGGGCUUGAGUGCAGGAGAGGUAAGUGGAAUUCCCAGUGUAGCGGUGAAAUGCGUAGAGAUUGGGAGGAACACCAGUGGCGAAGGCGACUUACUGGACUGUAACUGACGCUGAUGCGCGAAAGUGUGGGGAGCAAACAGGAUUAGAUACCCUGGUAGUCCACACUGUAAACGAUGAAUGCUAGGUUUAGGGGGUAUCGACCCCUUCUGUGCCGCAGUCAACACAAUAAGCAUUCCGCCUGGGGAGUACGGCCGCAAGGUUGAAACUCAAAUGAAUUGACGGGG